GGGCUUGUGGUUUAGUGGUAUAAUUUUCCCUUAGCAUCAGAAAGCGUGGGAAAGGUCCUGGGUUCGAUUCCCAGCAAGUCCA
Molecule: transfer RNA, 82 nt
Filed under: Delitschia confertaspora ATCC 74209
Lineage: Eukaryota; Fungi; Ascomycota; Dothideomycetes; Pleosporales; Delitschiaceae
Rfam family: tRNA
About the family: Transfer RNA (tRNA) molecules are approximately 80 nucleotides in length. Their secondary structure includes four short double-helical elements and three loops (D, anti-codon, and T loops).
Source: Rfam by way of RNAcentral